CUGAUCUUGAAAGUAUCAUAGAUGACCUCACUGUUCUCAAUGACAAGGCAAUUGAGAUGUUCUGUACUGCAGGUCAGUUGUUAAAGACUCUGGACCAAACCUAUCAAAGAGGGGACAACCUGCGAUCUGAGAGUGUGAAACUCUUACGAAAGAUACAAGAGUUCUUGGAAGAGUUGAAGCGAUCCAACCACACAGGUGGGAACACAGAGGAGGCCACCAGGAUGAUAAAAGAAGCCCAAUGGAUGCUGGUGAAGAUGCGAAGACAAAGCUGUAGGGUUCAGAGAGAACUGGCUAACGAGGAGCUCAGAAAAGCACGAACACUACUUAACCUCAUCUUGAAUGACCUGAUGGUUCCUCUGAAUGGCUCCUUGGUAGUGACUGAUCAUAUUAGACAAAAACUCAUGGAUCAGGCAGAAGAUCUUAAAGAUAUACAAGAGGCGCUUAUAGAUGCACAGCUUGAUGUGAUCAAGGC
Molecule: long non-coding RNA, 472 nt
Filed under: Sinocyclocheilus anshuiensis
Lineage: Eukaryota; Metazoa; Chordata; Actinopteri; Cypriniformes; Cyprinidae
Description: lncRNA (ENSSANG00000025364.1)
Source: RNAcentral